Molecule: ribosomal RNA, 401 nt
Filed under: uncultured bacterium
Lineage: Bacteria
Description: bacterial SSU rRNA
Rfam family: Bacterial small subunit ribosomal RNA
Source: RNAcentral
AUUGAACGCUGGCGGCGUGCUUAACACAUGCAAGUCGAUCGGUAACAGGUGUAGCAAUACAUGCUGACGAGAGGCGGACGGGUGAGUAAUGCUUGGGAAUCUGCCUAUUAGUGGGGGACAACCCGGGGAAACUCGGGCUAAUACCGCAUACGCUCUACGGAGGAAAGCCGGGGACCGCAAGGCCUGGCGCUAAUAGAUGAGCCCAAGUCGGAUUAGCUAGUUGGUAGGGUAACGGCCUACCAAGGCGACAAUCCGUAGCUGGUCUGAGAGGACGACCAGCCACACCGGAACUGAGACACGGUCCGGACUCCUACGGGAGGCAGCAGUGGGGAAUAUUGGACAAUGGGGGCAACCCUGAUCCAGCGACGCCGCGUGGGUGAAGAAGGCCUGCGGGUUGUAAA